Pongo pygmaeus (Bornean orangutan) is the source of this 4449-nucleotide long non-coding RNA. RefSeq lists it as uncharacterized. The record is from RefSeq and is a predicted model, not a curated record. The transcript has 4 exons. NCBI's taxonomy places the organism in Eukaryota, Metazoa, Chordata, Mammalia, Primates, Hominidae.
CAGCCUUGUGGCUGAAGGGCUGGGACUGGCCAUGAGAUUACAUGUCCUAGCAUGCUCAGCCAGGCGCGCGCAGCUCUGCCCCUUCCCCCAGUGAUGCGCACAGUCCCUGAUCCCUGUGCACCCUGGGAUUGUAGUCUUGCAGCCCUGCGAUAACUCGCCGGUAACAAGAAAUUUCAGCUCCCGGCAUGGUGGGCGAAGGCCCCAACCUUCAGCCUCGCUCCUCCAUGCCUCCAGAGCAGUUCCGCCAUGCAGAGGGGGAGCCUGCCUGUUCUUUAACCUCUCCUACCUGAUGGGAGAGGACAAGCUACCAGGGCAGCUUGUCUCACCAAGUAAUUGUGAUACCGCAUCCCCCAACGUGCUGGCUUCCUGACUUCCAAAAUUGCGGGCAGUUCCCCUGCACAUGCUCUCUUGCCUGCCACCGUGUAAGACAUGACUUCGCUCAUCCUUGCCUUCCUCCAUGAUUGUGAACCCCGCCCUGACCUACAGCCAUGUGGAAUUGCAAGGUAAGAAGAGCUACAGAGGAAGAACCUACUGCAGACGUUUCCCAGGAGACUUUAAUUGAAGCAUCAGCAAAACUGAAAGGUAACGAGAGAAUCUUGUCCCUCUGAGGGUGUCUUUCCCAUGGAUCCCUGCUCAGUUGCCUUUCACGGGCCCCCUGAUUUGCCUGAACUCCUGACCUCAGAUGAUCUGCCUGCCUCGGCCCUCCAAAGUGCUGGAAUUACAGGCAUGAGCCACUGUGCCUGGCCUGUUCCAUGCAUUAAAAAAAAAAAAAAAAAAAAAAAAAAAAAAAAAAAAAAAAAGUGAGAACAAGAAGAAAUGUAAAUGCUAGGCUUUUCAUAUAAAUCCAGGGAAUUAUGGGACAGUUAGUACCCACCUCCCAGGGUGUUAUGAGGAUAAAUUCAUAUUAUGUCAUCUUCCCAGCACAGUGCUCUGUAGCGUGCUUCUGAGCACACAGAGCAUGCUCCAUAAACAUCACAUUAAUGCAUGUAUGCAUGUUGUUUUCCAAAUGCAGACUUACUCAGACAUGAGCUGCCUUCUCCAGCCUCUGUAAAGUUUAAAGGAGCAGCAGAGUAUGCCAUGUUUUAGGAUAGUGAUUGGUGGUUUUUAUUUUGGACCAAAAGCAUUUAUGUUGUGAGAAGAGUAUGGGUUUAAGGAACUGUGUGCUGUGGCGCUUUGUCUAGUUGAGUGCUGCUAUAAGUGAUCUAGGGCAAGUAGGGUCAGCAUUAGCUGUGAAUGAAGCCAAUCCAUGGAUCCCUUUCAAACCUGCAGAAUUGGCCAGGCAUGGUGGCUCAUGCCUGUAAUCCCAGCACUGUGGGAGGACGAGGCGGGCGGAUCACUUGAGGUCAGGAGGUCGAGACCAGCCUGACCAACAUGGAGAAACCCCGUCUCUACUAAAAAAUACAAAAUUAGCUGGGUGUGGUGGCACAUGCCUGUAAUACCAGCUACUCGGGAGGCUGAGGCAGGAGAAUUGCUUGAACCUGGGAGGUGGAGCUUGCGGUGAGCUGAGAUCGCAUGCCAUUGCACUCCAGCUUGGGCAAGAAGAGCGAAACUCCAUCUCAAAAAAAGAAAAAAGGGAAAAAAAACAUUAAAUGCAGCAAGAUGCAGGUCAGAGCAUACCUCCAUUUGUGUACUCUUGUGGACAAAAUUUAAAUGGCAAAUAAGAUUUUGCAUUUAUUGACUUUUUCUUUACAUUGCUGUAAGUACAAAUACCCAUUUAUCCUUUGACCUCCUAUAUCUUUAUUCUGUAUGCAUAUGAAAAAAAUGCUAGAUCUGUAUCUAGAUUAUACAUGGGUAAACACAACAUAUAGAAUUUUAUGACUUUGCCUAUGUAGAUAUUUAUGUAUACAAUAGAUAUUAAUCAACAUUUUAAAUUCCCCAGCCUACACUGAGGAUGCAGAUAUAAACUUACUCUCACCUAUAUGGAUCCAUACCAUCUCAGACUGGAACACAGCCAUACAAUGUUAUGUUUAAACAUCAAUAAAGCUUCACAUACAGGUGCAUGGCCUGGGAAGUAUGUUUUUGGUAAAGCCAUGCUAGACUCUAGUUCCAGCUUAGCAUUUCAGGGCCCUGCUUCCUUUCUCACUGUAUGCCUGUGUGAUUCACAUUUGCCAUUUGGGUCGAUUGACUUGUAUCCAUCUAAGCUGAUCUAAGUGGCUUAUUAAACUCAUCUGGGCUGCAGAAGUUGAGAAGGAAAGCGACCUCUGACCUACUUAUUCUGCGGCUUCUCUACAGGACAUAUGCAAUAAUGGGAAUUACAUUGACAUACCUAUGUUACCCAUUUUCUAUUUUUUUGUUUGAGAUGGAGUUUCACUCUUGUUGGCCAGGCUGGAGUGCAAUGGUGCAAUCUCAGCUCACUGCAACCUCUGCCUCCUGGGUACAAGCGAUUCUCCUACCUCGGCCUCCUGAGUAGCUGGGAUUACAGGCACCUGCCACUACAGCUGGCCAGGCUGGUCUCAAACUCCUGACCACAGGUGAUCCACCCACCUCGGCCUCCCAAAGUGCUGGGAUUACAGGAGUGAGCCACCGCCUGGCCUUUCUGUGUAUGUUUAUCUAGCCACCGAUAUCAUAUCUAUAUGUAUAAAAAAGACCACCAGAGGUCAGAGGUGAUUUUUAUUUUCCAUUCAGGCCAAGUAAAUCCAAUCAGCCAUUAGCUCAGUGAAGAUUUAUCAAAUCCAAGCCACACACCAAAUCACGUUAUGCUAAAUAUGAAAAUAUCCUCAUUACUGGGCACCAAGGUGUUUUAAAUUCAGUCUAAUCAAAACAGCUCAUGGGGUUCUGUCCAUCCAGCUAGGACGCUUCAGACAUACCAGUGGGCCUAACUUUUUUCACAAGGAGCUCUGGCCUGGCCAACAAGAAUCACCUUUGGUGCUUCAGUGUAGUGUUACUAUCACCUGUUUGAAAUGCAGCCAGGUAACAUGUACCAUUAUAUUUGCUUUCAGUAUCACAGUCUAUCUUCUAACAAGAAACCUAGGCCUCUGGCUGGGUGUGGUGGCUCACGCCUGUAACCCAGCACUUUGAGAGGCUGAGGUGGGUGGAUCACUUGAGGUCAGGAGUUCCAGACCACCCUGGCCAACAUGGUGAAACUCCAUCUCUACUAAAAAUAUUAAAAUUAGCUGGGCAUGGUGGCAUGUGCCUCUAAUCCCAGGUACUAGGGAGGCUGAAGCAGGAAAAUCGCUUAAACCCGGGAGGUGGAGGUUGCAGCGAGCCGAGAUGAUGCCACUGCACUCCAGCCUGGGCAACAAGAGUGAAACUCCAUCUCAAAAAAAAAAAAAAAAAAAGGAUUUUUUUUUUGUUUUUUUCUGUGCUGGGUUUACUUAGCAUGAUACCUUUCAGAUUCAUGAAUGUUGUUGCAAAUAACAAGACUUUAUUUUUAAGGGCUGAAUAGCAUUUCAUUGUGUACAUGCACCACAUUUUCUUUCUCCAUUCACCUACUGAUGAACACUCAGGAUGAUUCCAUACCUUAGUUAUUAUCAGUAAUCCACUUCCUUCCCUUUCAUUUGUGUUUGUUUUGUUUGAGAUGGAGUCUCAUUCUGUCACCCAAGCUGGAGUGCAGUGGCGCAGUCUUGGCUAACAGCAACCUCCGCCUCCCAGGUUCAAGUGAUUCUCAUGUCUCAGCCUCCCGAGUAGCUGGGAUUACAGGCACGCACCACCAUGCCCAGCCAAUGGAUGAAAAAAGAUACAGAGAAGACACAUUUGCUUUUAUCCACUGCACUUCCACUCACUAUUACUCAUUGUGGAUACAGCUGAGAACAGCAGUUUUCUGGCAAGACAGCCACUUCUCAGUAAUAAACAACAAACUGAAAAAGUAUAAAUGCGUCAUAAAAAGCUAAUGGAUUGUAAGAAAAACAAGCAUAGGCAUCAGUAAUGCUUGUGGUAAAAUAUUCAUCUUGAUUUCUAUUGAGCUCCCGUAAUAUUUGAUCAAAAGCUUGCAAAUAUACAGCAGAAAAGGAGUAUUAUUCUAAAUCAGAAUAUUGUUGUGGCUAUUUUGUCAAUAUAAGUCAAUAUCCAAUAUACAGAAUGGUUAUUUUGUCAAUAUAAGUAAAAAUAUGACCUCACACUAAUAGUCUCACCUAUAGUUGUAAUCAAAUGUUAUUUUUUAUUUAAAAUUUUGUUUCAUAUAAGUAAUCCCAGCACUUUGGGAGGCCCAGGCGGGCGGAUCAUGAGGUCAAGAGAUCGAGACCAUCCUUGCCAACAUGGUGAAAGCCCAUCCCUACUAAAAAUACAAAAAUUAGCUAAGCAUGGUGGCACAUGCCUGUAGUCCCAGCUAUUUGGGAGGCUGAGGCAGGAGAAUCACUCCAUCCCGGGAGCUGAGAUCACGCCACUGCACUCCAGCCUGGGGACAGAGCAAGACUCCAUCUCAAAAAAAAAAAAAAAAAAAAAAAAAGGUCUAUAUGUUUGCAGACAGACCAGAUGUUCAAAGAAAACUAUAUAAAAGAUUUACUAAUAAUU